RNAcentral lists this ribosomal RNA (253 nucleotides) under uncultured bacterium. Its description in RNAcentral is "partial 16S ribosomal RNA". It matches the Rfam family "Bacterial small subunit ribosomal RNA", at positions 524 to 776 of the family's 1533-position model. The record is from RNAcentral.
GACAGAGGGUGCAAACGUUGCUCGGAAUCACUGGGCGUAAAGGGCGUGUAGGCGGGAAGGAUAGUCAGAUGUGAAAUCCCUGGGCUCAACCCAGGAACUGCAUUUGAAACUCCCUUUCUUGAGUACCGGAGAGGAAGGUGGAAUACCUGGUGUAGAGGUGAAAUUCGUAGAUAUCAGGUGGAACACCAGUGGCGAAGGCGGCCUUCUGGACGGUAACUGACGCUGAGACGCGAAAGCGUGGGGAGCAAACGGG